GCCUUCGUGGUGUACUGGUCAGCACGCUCGACGCGUAUUCGAGAGAUCCGUGGUUCGAAUCCCGGCGAGGGCG
This 73-nucleotide transfer RNA is filed under the name Stegodyphus mimosarum. It matches the Rfam family "tRNA". Rfam says of the family: Transfer RNA (tRNA) molecules are approximately 80 nucleotides in length. Their secondary structure includes four short double-helical elements and three loops (D, anti-codon, and T loops). The record is from Rfam by way of RNAcentral. Lineage: Eukaryota; Metazoa; Arthropoda; Arachnida; Araneae; Eresidae.